Molecule: ribosomal RNA, 114 nt
Filed under: Nanobdellota archaeon
Lineage: Archaea; Nanobdellati; Nanobdellota
Source: RNAcentral
AUUGGCGGCCAAAGCGGAAGGGCACACCCGUUCCCAUUUCGAACACGGAAGUUAAGCCUUCCUGCGGUCUGGAGAGUACUUCCUCCGGGAGGGAAAUCCAGAUUGCUGCCAACC